RNAcentral lists this ribosomal RNA (484 nucleotides) under uncultured bacterium. RNAcentral's name for it is "partial 16S ribosomal RNA". It matches the Rfam family "Bacterial small subunit ribosomal RNA", at positions 28 to 523 of the family's 1533-position model. The record is from RNAcentral.
GACGAACGCUGGCGGCGUGCUUAACACAUGCAAGUCGAACGAUGAAGCUGGAGCUUGCUCUGGCGGAUUAGUGGCGAACGGGUGAGUAACACGUGAGAAAUCUGCCCUUGACUCUGGGAUAACUGCGGGAAACUGUAGCUAAUACCGGAUACUUUCCCUGGUGGGCAUCCACUGGGGAAGAAAGAAUUUAAGUCAAGGAUGAUCUCGCGGCCUAUCAGCUUGUUGGUGAGGUAAUGGCUCACCAAGGCGACGACGGGUAGCCGGCCUGAGAGGGUGACCGACCACACUGGGACUGAGACACGGCCCAGACUCCUACGGGAGGCAGCAGUGGGGAAUAUUGCACAAUGGGCGCAAGCCUGAUGCAGCAACGCCGCGUGAGGGAUGAAGGCCUUCGGGUUGUAAACCUCUUUUAGCAGGGAAGAAGCGAAAGUGACGGUACCUGCAGAAAAAGCACCGGCUAACUACGUGCCAGCCGCCGCAGUAA